ACUAAUAUAGCUUAAAAUAAAGUAUGAUAUUGAAGAUAUCAGGAUAGAAUUGCUUCUUUUUAGUA
This 65-nucleotide transfer RNA is filed under the name Coleoptera sp. 1 KM-2017. Its description in RNAcentral is "tRNA-Phe". Lineage: Eukaryota; Metazoa; Arthropoda; Insecta; Coleoptera. The record is from RNAcentral.